AUUGAACGCUGGCGGCAGGCCUAACACAUGCAAGUCGAGCGGAUGAAGGGAGCUUGCUCCUGGAGUCAGCGGCGGACGGGUGAGUAAUGCCUAGGAAUCUGCCUGGUAGUGGGGGAUAACGUCCGGAAACGGGCGCUAAUAACGCAUACGUCCGGAGGGAGAAAGUGGGGGAUCUUCGGACCUCACGCUAUCAGAUGAGCCUAGGUCGGAUUAGCUAGUUGGUGGGGUAAAGGCCUACCAAGGCUACGAUCCGUAACUGGUCUGAGAGGAUGAUCAGGCACCCUGGAACUGAGACACGGUCCAGACUCCUACGGGAGGCCGCAGUGGGGAAUAUUGGACAAUGGGCGAAAGCCUGAUCCAGCCAUGCCGCGUGUGUGAAGAAGGUCUUCGGAUUGUAAAGCACUUUAAGUUGGGAGGACGGGCAGUAAGUUAAUCCCUUGCUGUGUUGACGUUACCAACAGAAUAAGCACCGGCUAACUUCGUG
This 484-nucleotide ribosomal RNA is filed under the name uncultured bacterium. RNAcentral describes it as "partial 16S ribosomal RNA". It matches the Rfam family "Bacterial small subunit ribosomal RNA", at positions 30 to 507 of the family's 1533-position model. The record is from RNAcentral.